GCGGGCAUCGUAUAAUGGCUAUUACCUCAGCCUUCCAAGCUGAUGAUGCGGGUUCGAUUCCCGUGCCCGCUCCA
This 74-nucleotide transfer RNA is filed under the name Escherichia coli. RNAcentral's name for it is "tRNA-Gly". It matches the Rfam family "tRNA". Rfam says of the family: Transfer RNA (tRNA) molecules are approximately 80 nucleotides in length. Their secondary structure includes four short double-helical elements and three loops (D, anti-codon, and T loops). Further hydrogen bonds mediate the characteristic L-shaped molecular structure. tRNAs have two regions of fundamental functional importance: the anti-codon, which is responsible for specific mRNA codon recognition, and the 3' end, to which the tRNAs corresponding amino acid is attached (by aminoacyl-tRNA synthetases). tRNAs cope with the degeneracy of the genetic code in two manners: having more than one tRNA (with a specific anti-codon) for a particular amino acid; and 'wobble' base-pairing, i.e. permitting non-standard base-pairing at the 3rd anti-codon position. The record is from RNAcentral. Lineage: Bacteria; Pseudomonadati; Pseudomonadota; Gammaproteobacteria; Enterobacterales; Enterobacteriaceae.